RNAcentral lists this ribosomal RNA (1305 nucleotides) under uncultured Klebsiella sp. RNAcentral's name for it is "bacterial SSU rRNA". It matches the Rfam family "Bacterial small subunit ribosomal RNA", at positions 102 to 1404 of the family's 1533-position model. The record is from RNAcentral. Lineage: Bacteria; Pseudomonadati; Pseudomonadota; Gammaproteobacteria; Enterobacterales; Enterobacteriaceae.
ACGGGUGAGUAAUGUCUGGGAAACUGCCUGAUGGAGGGGGAUAACUACUGGAAACGGUAGCUAAUACCGCAUAAUGUCGCAAGACCAAAGUGGGGGACCUUCGGGCCUCAUGCCAUCAGAUGUGCCCAGAUGGGAUUAGCUAGUAGGUGGGGUAACGGCUCACCUAGGCGACGAUCCCUAGCUGGUCUGAGAGGAUGACCAGCCACACUGGAACUGAGACACGGUCCAGACUCCUACGGGAGGCAGCAGUGGGGAAUAUUGCACAAUGGGCGCAAGCCUGAUGCAGCCAUGCCGCGUGUGUGAAGAAGGCCUUCGGGUUGUAAAGCACUUUCAGCGGGGAGGAAGGCGUUAAGGUUAAUAACCUUGUCGAUUGACGUUACCCGCAGAAGAAGCACCGGCUAACUCCGUGCCAGCAGCCGCGGUAAUACGGAGGGUGCAAGCGUUAAUCGGAAUUACUGGGCGUAAAGCGCACGCAGGCGGUCUGUCAAGUCGGAUGUGAAAUCCCCGGGCUCAACCUGGGAACUGCAUUCGAAACUGGCAGGCUAGAGUCUUGUAGAGGGGGGUAGAAUUCCAGGUGUAGCGGUGAAAUGCGUAGAGAUCUGGAGGAAUACCGGUGGCGAAGGCGGCCCCCUGGACAAAGACUGACGCUCAGGUGCGAAAGCGUGGGGAGCAAACAGGAUUAGAUACCCUGGUAGUCCACGCCGUAAACGAUGUCGAUUUGGAGGUUGUGCCCUUGAGGCGUGGCUUCCGGAGCUAACGCGUUAAAUCGACCGCCUGGGGAGUACGGCCGCAAGGUUAAAACUCAAAUGAAUUGACGGGGGCCCGCACAAGCGGUGGAGCAUGUGGUUUAAUUCGAUGCAACGCGAAGAACCUUACCUGGUCUUGACAUCCACAGAACUUUCCAGAGAUGGAUUGGUGCCUUCGGGAACUGUGAGACAGGUGCUGCAUGGCUGUCGUCAGCUCGUGUUGUGAAAUGUUGGGUUAAGUCCCGCAACGAGCGCAACCCUUAUCCUUUGUUGCCAGCGGUCCGGCCGGGAACUCAAAGGAGACUGCCAGUGAUAAACUGGAGGAAGGUGGGGAUGACGUCAAGUCAUCAUGGCCCUUACGACCAGGGCUACACACGUGCUACAAUGGCAUAUACAAAGAGAAGCGACCUCGCGAGAGCAAGCGGACCUCAUAAAGUAUGUCGUAGUCCGGAUUGGAGUCUGCAACUCGACUCCAUGAAGUCGGAAUCGCUAGUAAUCGUAGAUCAGAAUGCUACGGUGAAUACGUUCCCGGGCCUUGUACACACCGCCCGUCACACCA